Molecule: long non-coding RNA, 2220 nt
Organism: Cylas formicarius (sweet potato weevil)
Lineage: Eukaryota; Metazoa; Arthropoda; Insecta; Coleoptera; Brentidae
Exons: 4
Source: RefSeq, a predicted model, not a curated record
AAAAAUAGAAAAGCAAAUAAUAUUCCUCUAUAAAAUAGUAUUUACGCAUACCGAUCUUGUAUGAUAUUGGUCCGAAUUCAAAAUAAUUAGUACAAUAUUGGAGAAUUUCGACUGAUUUGUAAAUUAAAGAAAUUAAAAUAAUUUUUAUUUUUACACACCCUUCAUCACAACCCACGUUUUUCGGCAUCAAAACUACUAUUAAUAAAAUGUAUUUAAUUUGGACGAUUAAUUAUUUGUUACGUUGGCCAAAGUUACUUUAAUUAUGCUACGAACCAGCCAAAAAUUGUUACCCAAUUUCACGAAUUACUAAAAAACUACGGUAUCAACAUUAUUACUUUAAGUUUAUGGUUAGUUCGAAGCCAACUCUGUUGACUGUUUUUAUAAAAAUAUUAUUUUCAUAAUUAUGGUGUAUGUACCUAUAGGUAAAAACCGCAGUAGAUUUUCCCUGUAAUCAGGAAACCGAAGAAAUCGACUUUCCGCCCCAUACACGCGUAUAAAAUUGUUUCCGAAACCCCACAAUUUCCGUUAUUAAGUAAACGAUUUUCUGUGAGUUGAUUUAACAUUGGAACUGCACCACGUAAAAGCUACAAGUGAUACCUUGACUAGAAUAUAGAAAAAAAAAAAGAAAAACAGUAGAGAUUUUAAUAUACCUUGUAUUUCAUACUGACAAUUGAAGUGGCUUCCACGGAAAUGAGUGCGAUUUCUACAAGCCAGUUGUUACAACAAAUAUGAGGGACAUUCAGUUUUAAGUGGUUUGUGAAGAAGAAAACAAGCAAAAUGAUACUUGCAGAUCCCCCCACCCCCCUAUUUUCAAUAGGUUCCGUCACGGGGCAAAGCUGCAUAUAUGUGCCAAAUAUGGAGUCGAUUGCUUCAAAUUUCGGACACUUAUCGUGUCCAAAAACAGUCGAAACGGUUCGAAAGCUAUUCAGGAAAAACCAAAAGACGAGAACGGAGAACGGACAUAAGAUUUUUAUAAGAGUAGAUACUUUCGAAAAAUUCGAUUUCAUCGAUUGUCGAAAGUAAAAUAUCAUCCAAAACUGUAAUUUAGGUAUUCCCAAAAUUCCCAAAUUGGUGACAGGUAGAGACGUGAGUCGUGGUUGACAUUGUUAGGUUGUUUAUAGAUUUCUAUAAACUCUCGGAUUUUUCGAUAAAACUAAAAUCCCUGCAGUUCUUCUAUCAACGAAAAAUCCCAGAGUCUAUAGAAAUCUAUAAAUAACCUAACAAUCUUAACCGCGACUCAGCUCUCUACCUGUCACCAAUUUGGGAAUCGGUCAUCCGAGACGGUGUUUAUGCCCCUCAUUAGCGGCCCUCUCAAACAAUAUAUAAGCAGGUACAUAGUAAAAUGUGAGCCAGUUUCAGUCAAGUUCUGAAGAAACCAACAGUAUGAUUGCCGAAACGUCAGCCUUUUCGACGCAGCAAAAAGCGACGAAGGAGGAAUGCAAAAGUUUCGUAAAAAGUUUUAUUUUACUUUUCUAGUUUAAUUGAAUGUUAACGGUGUUGUCAUCGAUAGUAGAGAAUUCUUUCAGGAAUUCAAUUUGAUCCUCAACAUCAACCUAUCCAUCAAAAUUUCACUAAAUUAAAUAUAUGAAACAAUUACAUCAUCAAAAACACAUCAGUUUAGUUUAUAUUUUCUCCCGAAAUAGUAGAUUAAUGGAUGCUUCAAAACACAGACACAAAGUAUUGAUACUGAACCAAAAAUUAAACAAAUCUCACUCAUUAUUUGAGAUAUCGACAUGAAAGAUGGUAUCCGCAAAGGACUACAUUAUAAAUUUCUUGUAUGUUAAAUCGUGAUGCUCAAGAUCAGUUUAUUAGAGUUUUCUUGAAAUCCUUUUUACAAUUUUUCCAGUUAAUUCUUUAAUAUUGAUUUUUGAUCAUCCUAUAUUUUUUUGUUUAUUUUUAAAAUAUUAACACAGCUCAGCAAAGUACCAUCUACAAGAAAAUUAGUCAUAGAUAUACGACAAAAGCCUUUAAAUCGACAGAAACGGCAAGAGCAAAUAUAGAAUAUUGCGUACUAAAUAAGUCCAGAGUUUUCGGAGGAAUUAAAAAAAAGGCCUUGAUAAACUCGGUGUAAUAUUUUAAAAAAGCAUUACCUUAAUAAACCGAAGGGUCACUAAAGCUAUAUUUAGCGAUAUUGUUGUAUACUCUAUCAAGAUGAGAUAUUUGAUUGAUUCAUUCAGAUCUGCUACAAAGCUAAAAUUAUAAACACAUCUCAACGACAAC